RNAcentral lists this ribosomal RNA (433 nucleotides) under uncultured bacterium. RNAcentral's name for it is "bacterial SSU rRNA". It matches the Rfam family "Bacterial small subunit ribosomal RNA", at positions 29 to 506 of the family's 1533-position model. The record is from RNAcentral.
GCGAACGCUGGCGGCAGGCUUAACACAUGCAAGUCGAACGCGCGUAGCAAUACGCGAGUGGCGCACGGGUGAGUAACGCGUGGGUAUCUGUCCUAUGGUUCGGAAUAACUGCGGGAAACUGCAGCUAAUACCGAAUACGCCCGAAAGGGGAAAGAUUUAUCGCCAUUGGAGGAACCCGCGUCCGAUUAGCUAGUUGGUGAGGUAAUGGCUCACCAAGGCGACGAUCGGUAGCUGGUCUGAGAGGACGAUCAGCCACACUGGGACUGAGACACGGCCCAGACUCCUACGGGAGGCAGCAGUGGGGAAUAUUGGACAAUGGGGGCAACCCUGAUCCAGCCAUGCCGCGUGAGUGAUGAAGGCCUUCGGGUUGUAAAGCUCUUUUGGCGGGGACGAUGAUGACGGUACCCGCAGAAUAAGCCCCGGCUAACUUCGU